GCCUUAGCUCAGUUGGUAGAGCAUCGCAUUCGUAAUGCGGGGGUCACAGGUUCGAGUCCUGUAGGCGG
RNAcentral lists this transfer RNA (68 nucleotides) under Sphingomonas yantingensis. It matches the Rfam family "tRNA". From Rfam's summary of the family: Transfer RNA (tRNA) molecules are approximately 80 nucleotides in length. Their secondary structure includes four short double-helical elements and three loops (D, anti-codon, and T loops). RNAcentral also lists the same sequence under 5 other names. Lineage: Bacteria; Pseudomonadati; Pseudomonadota; Alphaproteobacteria; Sphingomonadales; Sphingomonadaceae. The record is from RNAcentral.